CAAGUCCUGUAGUGCGUAGCAUGCCGAAUUGCAAAUUCGGAGUCGCCAUUAAGAAGUGGCCCGGACU
This 67-nucleotide transfer RNA is filed under the name Mokopirirakau cryptozoicus (Takitimu gecko). RNAcentral describes it as "tRNA-Cys". The record is from RNAcentral. Lineage: Eukaryota; Metazoa; Chordata; Lepidosauria; Squamata; Diplodactylidae.